This 279-nucleotide unclassified non-coding RNA is filed under the name plant metagenome. RNAcentral describes it as "partial contains small subunit ribosomal RNA, internal transcribed spacer 1, and 5.8S ribosomal RNA". The record is from RNAcentral.
UCUCCGUAGGUGAACCAGCGGAGGGAUCAUUACAAAGUAUUCAAAACUACCAACCCUUGCGAACCGUACCCAUUCUGGUCUCGUUGCUUCCGGCGGGGGGGACGGGGGGCCCGAAACGGCCUCAAUGCCCCCCCCGACGGGGGCGGUGGGCCUUAUGAACCUCUAUAUUCCAAUCAGCAGAAUCGGUCUUGGCAAAAACACCAAAUUAUCAAAACGUUCAACAACGGAGCAUUUGGUCCUUGCAUCGCUGAAGAACGAAACCAAUCGGCAAAUGACACG